RNAcentral lists this ribosomal RNA (467 nucleotides) under uncultured bacterium. RNAcentral describes it as "partial 16S ribosomal RNA". It matches the Rfam family "Bacterial small subunit ribosomal RNA", at positions 28 to 506 of the family's 1533-position model. The record is from RNAcentral.
GACGAACGCUGGCGGCGUGCUUAACACAUGCAAGUCGAACGGAAAGGCCCUGCUUUUGUGGGGUGCUCGAGUGGCGAACGGGUGAGUAACACGUGAGUAACCUGCCCUUGACUUUGGGAUAACUUCAGGAAACUGGGGCUAAUACCGGAUAGGAGCUCCUGCUGCAUGGUGGGGGUUGGAAAGUUUCGGCGGUUGGGGAUGGACUCGCGGCUUAUCAGCUUGUUGGUGGGGUAGUGGCUUACCAAGGCUUUGACGGGUAGCCGGCCUGAGAGGGUGACCGGCCACAUGGGGACUGGGAUACGGCCCAGACUCCUACGGGAGGCAGCAGUGGGGAAUAUUGCACAAUGGGCGGAAGCCGGAUGCAGCAACGCCGCGUGCGGGAUGACGGCCUUCGGGUUGUAAACCGCUUUCGCCUGUGACGAAGCGUGAGUGACGGUAAUGGGGAAAGAAGCACCGGCUAACUACGG